Molecule: long non-coding RNA, 1033 nt
Filed under: Sinocyclocheilus grahami
Lineage: Eukaryota; Metazoa; Chordata; Actinopteri; Cypriniformes; Cyprinidae
Description: lncRNA (ENSSGRG00000039722.1)
Source: RNAcentral
UUUUUAUUAAAAUUAUUUUAUUUAAAAUAUUGUUUUGUUUUAGAUGACUUCACUAUUGCUCUGUGGUUGAAGGAUAUGUUGACUUCUAAGCCCUGGAUUGACCCAAAGGUGAUGUGUAUUCUGAGAGGUCACAAUGGAGGGGUCACAUGCCUUGCUUUCAGUCCUGAUGGGAAAGAGUUGCUGUCAGGAGGAAAAGAUCAGGUACUUGCUCCACUGCCUAUUCAUUACUGGAAGAAAUUGAAGAAAAUACACAAUUUCUGUCAUACUCAAUUUAAUCACAAUCUUUUCUAAUAGGCUUUGAUGAUAUGGAAGGUAAACGCUUCUCCUCCAGUUCUUUCCCAGUCCAUUUCCAAUUGCCAUGGAGACUGGAUUACAGGAUGUGCUUGGACAUCAUCUGCUGUGGUGAGAAAGCCAUUUACAAAGUGCUGUUUAGUUCAUGUUAUCAGCAUCUGACUCUGUGUGUCUGUAACUGAAUACAAAACCUCUCUGUCACCUCAGCUCAGCUGCUCCAGUAAGCUGCGGAUGUGGGAUAUCCAAACAGGACGUUUGUUGAGAGAGAUCCUCUCUAGUUCAUCGCUGAGCACAUUGUGCUGUUGGGUAAGACAGCUGUGCCAUGUUGCAAAGACAUACAGAAGUGUAACCUGUUAAUAUUUAUGUAGUUUCUAAUGUCUUUAGGAGGAUUAUGUAAUGGCAGGCUCCACAGAUGGACUGCUGAUGGUUUGGAAGUGGGAAUCAGGGGUAGAAAUCACCAGGAUCCAGGCCCACAAGUCACGUCUCCAUCACUGCACUGUUGUCUCAGAUCUGGAAAAGAAUUUGAAACCAGAAGACUUACUGGUAGCUUCAGCAUCAGAAGAUGGAACUGUUAAACUCUGGCAUCCACUGCAGGUACAGCAUCACAACACUCUGCAUGGACACAGUGCAGAAAUCCAGUCUUUAGUGUGCAAAAAGACCGGACCGCCGGAGUUUCUCACUGUCUCAGCUGAUCGUUCCCUCAGGUCAUGGAGCGUCACCACAGCAAUGGGUAUGACAGAAU